GACGAACGCUGGCGGCGUGCUUAACACAUGCAAGUCGAACGGUAAGGCUCCAGCUUGCUGGGGUACACGAGUGGCGAACGGGUGAGUAACACGUGGGUGACCUGCCCUGCACUUCGGGAUAAGCCUGGGAAACUGGGUCUAAUACCGGAUAGGACCGCACCGUGAGGGUGUGGUGGAAAGUUUUUUCGGUGUGGGAUGGGCCCGCGGCCUAUCAGCUUGUUGGUGGGGUAAUGGCCUACCAAGGCGGCGACGGGUAGCCGGCCUGAGAGGGUGGACGGCCACAUUGGGACUGAGACACGGCCCAGACUCCUACGGGAGGCAGCAGUGGGGAAUAUUGCACAAUGGGCGGAAGCCUGAUGCAGCGACGCCGCGUGGGGGAUGACGGCCUUCGGGUUGUAAACUCCUUUCACCAUCGACGAAGGGUUUCUGACGGUAGAUGGAGAAGAAGCACCGGCUAACUACGUGCCAGCAGCCGCGGUAAUACGUAGGGUGCGAGCGUUGUCCGGAAUUACUGGGCGUAAAGAGCUCGUAGGUGGUUUGUCGCGUCGUCUGUGAAAUUCCGGGGCUUAACUCCGGGCGUGCAGGCGAUACGGGCAUAACUUGAGUACUGUAGGGGAGACUGGAAUUCCUGGUGUAGCGGUGAAAUGCGCAGAUAUCAGGAGGAACACCGGUGGCGAAGGCGGGUCUCUGGGCAGUAACUGACGCUGAGGAGCGAAAGCAUGGGGAGCGAACAGGAUUAGAUACCCUGGUAGUCCAUGCCGUAAACGGUGGGCGCUAGGUGUGGGUUUCCUUCCACGGGAUCCGUGCCGUAGCUAACGCAUUAAGCGCCCCGCCUGGGGAGUACGGCCGCAAGGCUAAAACUCAAAGGAAUUGACGGGGGCCCGCACAAGCGGCGGAGCAUGUGGAUUAAUUCGAUGCAACGCGAAGAACCUUACCUGGGCUUGACAUAUACAGGAUCGCGCCAGAGAUGGUGUUUCCCUUGUGGCUUGUAUACAGGUGGUGCAUGGUUGUCGUCAGCUCGUGUCGUGAGAUGUUGGGUUAGGUCCCGCAACGAGCGCAACCCUUGUCUUAUGUUGCCAGCACGUUGUGGUGGGGACUCGUAAGAAACUGCCGGGGUUAACUCGGAGGAAGGUGGGGAUGACGUCAAAUCAUCAUGCCCCUUAUGUCCAGGGCUUCACACAUGCUACAAUGGUCGGUACAGUGGGUUGCCAGUCCGUGAGGGCGAGCUAAUCCCGCAAAGCCGGUCUCAGUUCGGAUCGGGGUCUGCAACUCGACCCCGUGAAGUCGGAGUCGCUAGUAAUCGCAGAUCAGCAACGCUGCGGUGAAUACGUUCCCGGGCCU
RNAcentral lists this ribosomal RNA (1341 nucleotides) under uncultured bacterium. Its description in RNAcentral is "partial 16S ribosomal RNA". It matches the Rfam family "Bacterial small subunit ribosomal RNA", at positions 28 to 1381 of the family's 1533-position model. The record is from RNAcentral.